Molecule: ribosomal RNA, 251 nt
Filed under: uncultured bacterium
Lineage: Bacteria
Description: partial 16S ribosomal RNA
Rfam family: Bacterial small subunit ribosomal RNA
Source: RNAcentral
GGUGAGUAACACGUGACCAACCUGCCUUCGAGAGGGGAAUAACCUGGGGAAACUCGGGCUAAUGCCGCAUGAAGUGUCGAGCUCGCAUGGGCAUGACACCAAAGGGAGGCCUCUACUUGUAAGCUUCCGCUCGAAGAGGGGGUCGCGACGUAUCAGCUAGUUGGUGGGGUAAUGGCCCACCAAGGCUACGACGCGUAGCGGGUCUGAGAGGACGACCCGUCACAUUGGGACUGAGAUACGGCCCAGACUCC